Molecule: ribosomal RNA, 419 nt
Filed under: bacterium
Lineage: Bacteria
Description: partial 16S ribosomal RNA
Rfam family: Bacterial small subunit ribosomal RNA
Source: RNAcentral
UGGGGGAUAUUGCACAAUGGGCGCAAGCCUGAUGCAGCGACGCCGCGUGGGGGAUGAAGGCCUUCGGGUUGUAAACUUCUUUUGCUGUGAACAAGGCGCACUUUGGGGAGUGUUGAGUGCAGGGGUUGAUUAGCGCCGGCUAACUACGUGCCAGCAGCCGCGGUAAUCCGUAGGGCGCGAGCGUUGUCCGGAAUUAUUGGGCGUAAAGGGCUUGUAGGUGGCUGGUUGCGUCUGUCGUGAAAGCUCAUGGCUUAACUGUGGGUUUGCGGUGGGUACGGGCUGGCUUGAGUGCAGUAGGGGAGGCUGGAAUUCCUGGUGUAGCGGUGGAAUGCGCAGAUAUCAGGAGGAAUACCGGUGGCGAAGGCGGGACUCUGGGCGGUUACUGACACUGAGGAGCGAAAGCAUGGGGAGCAAACAGG